This is a long non-coding RNA of Dermacentor silvarum, 831 nucleotides long. RefSeq lists it as uncharacterized. The record is from RefSeq and is a predicted model, not a curated record. The transcript is spliced from 2 exons. NCBI's taxonomy places the organism in Eukaryota, Metazoa, Arthropoda, Arachnida, Ixodida, Ixodidae.
CCUUGCUCUCUUUACAUACGUCGUGGACGGUGUGUUUCCUUAACGUGUAUCAGGGGGAAACCCAUCGAUUUUAAGAGUUGCAUUCGGUAUCGAAAUGAACGCGUGACAAUUGAGCUACUUCGUACUGCACGCUCGUGCACUGCCACCGCACUCACCUACGGUGAUGGCGCAACCGUGACGUCAGAGCCCAUCUCUGGAACCCGGCCAACACGGGAGCGUUCAACGUAUAUAUAAGCUUUUCCUGUAGCCGCGACGACGCAAUUUGCUCGCUGCGAGUGUAUGCGCGUGCCGUCAAUUCCAAUGCCUAUGAUGACCACCCUCAGAGUUGGCAGAUUGCGCCUCUGCACGUUCGCUGUCAUAACGGUGCUGCUGGUGCUAGCCGCAUUCACGGAAGUGCAGGCGCGUUGUCCUUCCAGGCGGCCGGGUCAGUUGAGCGACUGCGCCUACACCGUGUGCACCCCAUCGGAGUGCGCCGCCAAGGGUCUGGAGUGCUGCCCGAAACCGUGUGGAGGGAGCUGGUGUGUCAGAGGCACAGGUCCUCGUCUGAAUACCCGGAGACCUGCCCGCCAGCGUUUAAUUGGGCCAGGAACUGUCCAAUUCUAAAGAGUAACGCGACUUGAAAACAACUGAAUUGCUCCAGGCUGGGAUACGCCUGCUGCAGCAGCAAUGGCUGAAAGGAAAAGUAUUGGUACCAAAUACCGUGGACUUUAUUCUGACGGAUUCGCUCACUUCUAGGCACGCAAAGCCAAUACUCGAGACGUCAUCGGAAUAAACAAAUGGCGUGCAGGGGCUGACUUGCUCGUCGGCCUUCCUCACGCCAGGCAUGUUGUA